Molecule: transfer RNA, 72 nt
Filed under: Dipodomys ordii (Ord's kangaroo rat)
Lineage: Eukaryota; Metazoa; Chordata; Mammalia; Rodentia; Heteromyidae
Rfam family: tRNA
About the family: Transfer RNA (tRNA) molecules are approximately 80 nucleotides in length. Their secondary structure includes four short double-helical elements and three loops (D, anti-codon, and T loops). Further hydrogen bonds mediate the characteristic L-shaped molecular structure. tRNAs have two regions of fundamental functional importance: the anti-codon, which is responsible for specific mRNA codon recognition, and the 3' end, to which the tRNAs corresponding amino acid is attached (by aminoacyl-tRNA synthetases). tRNAs cope with the degeneracy of the genetic code in two manners: having more than one tRNA (with a specific anti-codon) for a particular amino acid; and 'wobble' base-pairing, i.e. permitting non-standard base-pairing at the 3rd anti-codon position.
Source: Rfam by way of RNAcentral
UAGGGCAUAGUUCAGUGGUAGAAUGCUUGUCUUGCAUUUAUGAGGGCCUAGGUUCAAUCCUUAGCAUCCUAA